RNAcentral lists this ribosomal RNA (139 nucleotides) under uncultured bacterium. RNAcentral's name for it is "partial 16S rRNA". It matches the Rfam family "Bacterial small subunit ribosomal RNA", at positions 355 to 507 of the family's 1533-position model. The record is from RNAcentral.
UAGGGAAUAUUGCGCAAUGGGGGGAACCCUGAUCGCAGCGACGCCGCGUGAGCGAUGAAGGCCUUCGGGUCGUAAAGCUCUGUCCUCAGGGAAGAAGAAAGUGACGGUACCUGAGAAGAAAGCCCCGGCUAACUACGUG